GUGCUUCCCACCCGAGGGGUCGUUGCAAGGCAAUUUUCACAGGUAGUGGUCGCUUUGUGGCUGUCGAAGUUAAAAAUGCAUGUUAAUGGUAUUGUAAUGAUGGAUCGCUGACCGUAAUAGAUAAGGUAUAUAUUGGAUAUUUUAAAGGUGUUUGAGAUGUUUGUUCGCUGAACACCAGUACAUCUACCUGUUUCACCAUCUGCUG
Molecule: long non-coding RNA, 205 nt
Filed under: Elaeis guineensis (African oil palm)
Lineage: Eukaryota; Viridiplantae; Streptophyta; Magnoliopsida; Arecales; Arecaceae
Description: long non-coding RNA (EGUI_LNC013825)
Source: RNAcentral